This 2731-nucleotide long non-coding RNA is filed under the name Nicotiana benthamiana. Its description in RNAcentral is "long non-coding RNA (NBEN_LNC024677)". Lineage: Eukaryota; Viridiplantae; Streptophyta; Magnoliopsida; Solanales; Solanaceae. The record is from RNAcentral.
UCAGCCUCCUGAGGCCUCAACCUGGGAGUUCGAGUCUGAUAUGUGGAGCCGUUAUCAUCAUCUUUUUCCCAAUUCAGGUACUUCUUUCUUUUGUCUGUUAGAUGACGAACGAUUGUUUUAGAGGUGGAGAAUGUGACGACCCAAAGGGUCAUCACCUAUUUUUUUGUUCAUUAUGUGCUUCCGAGACCUUGAAAACCUUAUUUUUGGUCGUCUCAAUUUACGUGUGCAGUCCGGACGCGUAGACGGAAAGCUUAAAUAUGAAUUUUGUGUAAAAAUUUAUGAAUUUUAAUGAUAAUAUGAUUAAAGUUGACUUUGGUCAACAUUUGGAUAAACGGACCCGGACCCGUAAUUUGACAGUUCCGGACGGUCCGUAAAAAAUAUGGAACUUGGGCAUAUGCCCGAAAUCAAAUUUCGAGGUCCUGAGCCCGAAAAUAAAAUUUUAAGAGAAAUUAUUUUUCUGAAAUUUAUAUGAAAAUUUAAAGUGAAAAUAGAUUAGAAAAUAUUGGUAUCGGGCUCCUAUUUUGAUUCCGGCGCCUGGUACAGGUCUUAUAUGUGACUUAAGACGUUUAUGUUAAAUUUGAUUGAAAUCGAACGUCAUUUAACGUGUUUUGGACCUAAAUAACUAUCAAUGAAAGUUAAGAAGUUUGAUGAAAAAGUGUUGAUUUUGAGGGUUAGUUCAUUGAUUUUGAUGUUAUUUUGGCAAUUUGAUUGCACGUUUAAGUUCGUAGGAUGUUGUUGAGUUAUUGUGUGAGUUUGGUUAGGAGCCCUGAGGGCUCGAGUGUAUUUCAGAGGUGUUUCAGGGUGUUUUAACUUAGGAGAAGUAGCAGAUUUUCUGCAAUUUUUCCAUAGUAUUUUCCUUCUUCGCGAUCGUAGCCUUCAGCUCGCGUUCGCGUACCAUUAGGUUCCCACUUCUUCGCGUUCGCGAAAUAGAUCACGUGUUCGCAUAGUGGUAGCCCACCCUUCAUCGCAUUCGCAUGUGUACCCACGCAUUCGCAUAGAGUAAACCCCUGAACCCCCAGCCCUUUCUUCUACGCAUUCGGUAGUAGCUUCUCACAUUCGCAAUGCUUUGUUCUGAUUACCCUUCGCGAAUGCGAUCCCUUUCCCGCGAACGCGAAGGGCAAUUUUGCCUAGUGAUUUUUUUAAAAAGUUUCAGACAAUACAUUCGGGAUUUGUUCGAAUUUCUCAUGAACUCUCUUCUCCUCCAAGCUCUAGGAGUCCAUUGAAGUCCCCAUUCUUCUAUACCGCUUGGGUAAGUAAAUUCCCACUCGUUUCCUCGAUUUUUCCUUCAUGAAGUGAAUUUCUAGGCUUAAAUAUCAUAGAUUAGGGUGGAAAUUGGGUAGAAUUAGGGCUUUUCAAUUUUCUUUGAUUUAGACCUCGUUUUGGGGUCGAAUUUGAAAAUAAAUUGUAUAUUCGGGCUCGUGGGGAUAUGGGUGAUAUGAAUUUGGUUCGAACCUCGUGUUUUGACCAAGCAGGUCUGGGGUCGAUUUUUGGAAUUUUUGGAAGAAAGGUUUGGAACUUAUAUUUAGGCAUUGGGCUUGAUUUGUUUAGCUAUUAUUGAUAUUAUAAAGUCAUUAUUUCAUAGCUUUGAUUGAGUUGGAGCCGAAUUCAAGAGGGAAAGUGGUCGUUGUGGAUUGAUUUUUGCCGUGGAAAUGGAGGUAUGUGUUUGGUCUAACUUUGGCUUGAGGGAAUAGGAGUAGAGUCUUAUUUACUAAUUGCUAAUUGUCAAGAAUGGUGUAUAGGCAUGGUGAAGAGUAUCUAUACACUGGCGUAGAGUAUGACCGUAAGUCCUAAAUUUCUAAAUUAUAAAAUUCUUAAUUGUUGUUUAUGAUAACUUGGUUGGAAAUAUUUAACACUGAGCCAAUAAUUGUGGAGACUAAGUAUCGAUUUAAUUGUGGUAAGUAGAAAUUGAAUCAGUUUGGUUAUGGCUGGAUCUCCCUUGCCGGGAUAGUUUAUUAUAUUACCUUUUUUCCUUGCCGGGAUAGUAUAUUAUAAGAUCUUCUCCCUUGCCGGGAUUAUAUUGUGUACUGCAUUGAAAAAAUGUGGCACACCGACCAUGAGAUAUUAUGAAAUGGGAUCGUGUGGCACGCCGACAAUGAGAUAUUAUGAAAUGAAAAUGUCUGGCACGCCGACCACGUGAUAUUAUGUAAUGGGAGCAAGUGGUACGCCUACCACGUGAUAUAAGGAAAUUAGAUUGUGUUGCACGCUUGCAACAAGAGGAAAUUGAAAAAAGUGAAAGUGGUACGUUGUUCCAUUAUUCUGUGUUAGAAGAAAUCAGAUGUAGUUUCGUCAUUUAUUCCUGAUAUUCUUUUUUUAUCUACUAUCCCCAUGAGCAUGUCCCCCUCCCAGUUUUUACUUGUUAUUUUUUGCUGUUAUUUUGUUGUACUUGUAUAUAUAUCUGCACAGGUUUAUGUGGUAGUCUGGUCUAGACUCAUCAUUACUUCGCUGGGGUCAGGCUAGGCACUUAUUAGCACAUGGGGUCGGUUGUGCUGAUGAUACACUCUGUGCAUCUUUUUGCACAGAUCAUAGUGCCGGAGCAAUAACUUUUGGAUAGCAGUAGGAGCAUUGGGUGCUGACUUCAGUCCACAGAUCCCGAGGUAGCCUUGCUGACGUCCGCAUGACCCGGAGUCUCUCCUAUCUUUAUUUUUGUUUGUUAUCCUUGUACCGGAACAAAGAGUAUUGUGUUUUAUUCAGAUUCUGUGUUUAGCAUUCUAUAGAUGUCCAUGAGUUGGUG